Molecule: ribosomal RNA, 441 nt
Filed under: uncultured bacterium
Lineage: Bacteria
Description: partial 16S ribosomal RNA
Rfam family: Bacterial small subunit ribosomal RNA
Source: RNAcentral
CCUACGGGAGGCAGCAGUGGGGAAUAUUGGGCAAUGGACGCAAGUCUGACCCAGCAACGCCGCGUGAAGGAAGAAGGCUUUCGGGUUGUAAACUUCUUUUAAGGGGGAAGAGCAGAAGACGGUACCCCUUGAAUAAGCAUCGGCUAACUCCGUGCCAGCAGCCGCGGUAAUACGGAGGAUGCGAGCGUUAUCCGGAUUUAUUGGGUUUAAAGGGUGCGCAGGCGGCGAGUUAAGUCAGCGGUAAAAUUUCGGGGCUCAACCCCGACGAGCCGUUGAAACUGGCUUGCUAGAGUGGGCGAGAAGUAUGCGGAAUGCGUGGUGUAGCGGUGAAAUGCAUAGAUAUCACGCAGAACUCCGAUUGCGAAGGCAGCAUACCGGCGCCCAACUGACGCUCAGGCACGAAAGCGUGGGUAUCGAACAGGAUUAGAUACCCCUGUAGUC